GAGGGUAUAGUUCAGUGGUUAAGAAUGCAUGGUUAGGGUGCAUGAGGUCCUGGGUUCAAUCCCCAGUACCUUCA
Transfer RNA from Camelus ferus (Wild Bactrian camel), 74 nucleotides. It matches the Rfam family "tRNA". Rfam says of the family: Transfer RNA (tRNA) molecules are approximately 80 nucleotides in length. Their secondary structure includes four short double-helical elements and three loops (D, anti-codon, and T loops). Further hydrogen bonds mediate the characteristic L-shaped molecular structure. tRNAs have two regions of fundamental functional importance: the anti-codon, which is responsible for specific mRNA codon recognition, and the 3' end, to which the tRNAs corresponding amino acid is attached (by aminoacyl-tRNA synthetases). tRNAs cope with the degeneracy of the genetic code in two manners: having more than one tRNA (with a specific anti-codon) for a particular amino acid; and 'wobble' base-pairing, i.e. permitting non-standard base-pairing at the 3rd anti-codon position. NCBI's taxonomy places the organism in Eukaryota, Metazoa, Chordata, Mammalia, Artiodactyla, Camelidae. The record is from Rfam.